Molecule: ribosomal RNA, 497 nt
Filed under: uncultured bacterium
Lineage: Bacteria
Description: partial 16S ribosomal RNA
Rfam family: Bacterial small subunit ribosomal RNA
Source: RNAcentral
GAUGAACGCUGGCGGCGUGCCUAAUACAUGCCAGUCGAGCGAACGGACGAGAAGCUUGCUUCUCUGAUGUUAGCGGCGGACGGGUGAGUAACACGUGGAUAACCUACCUAUAAGACUGGGAUAACUUCGAGAAACCGGAGCUAAUACCGGAUGAUAUUUUGAACCGCAUGGUUCAAAAGUGAAAGACGGUCUUGCUGUCACUUAUAGAUGGAUCCGCGCUGCAUUAGCUAGUUGGUAAGGUAACGGCUUACCAAGGCAACGAUGCAUAGCCGACCUGAGAGGGUGAUCGGCCACACUGGAACUGAGACACGGUCCAGACUCCUACGGGAGGCAGCAGUAGGGAAUCUUCCGCAAUGGGCGAAAGCCUGACGGAGCAACGCCGCGUGAGUGAUGAAGGUCUUCGGAUCGUAAAACUCUGUUAUUAGGGAAGAACAUAUGUGUAAGUAACUGCGCACAUCUUGACGGUACCUAAUCAGAAAGCCACGGCUAACUACGUG